GAUGAAGAACGCAGCGAAAUGCGAUACGUAAUGUGAAUUGCAGAAUUCAGUGAAUCAUCGAGUCUUUGAACGCACAUUGCGCCCCCUGGUAUUCCGGGGGGCAUGCCUGUCCGAGCGUCAUUGCUGCCCUCAAGCACGGCUUGUGUGUUGGGCCUCCGUCCUCCUCCCGGGGGACGGGCCCGAAAGGCAGCGGCGGCACCGCGUCCGGUCCUCGAGCGUAUGGGGCUUCGUCACCCGCUCUUGUAGGCCCGGCCGGCGCUUGCCGACACAUCAAUCUUUUUUCCAGGUUGACCUCGGAUCAGGUAGGGAUACCCGCUGAACUUAAGCAGAUCAAUAAGCGGAGGA
Molecule: unclassified non-coding RNA, 345 nt
Filed under: soil metagenome
Description: partial contains 5.8S ribosomal RNA, internal transcribed spacer 2, and large subunit ribosomal RNA
Rfam family: 5.8S ribosomal RNA (bases 1-120)
Source: RNAcentral